RNAcentral lists this ribosomal RNA (238 nucleotides) under uncultured bacterium. Its description in RNAcentral is "partial 16S ribosomal RNA". It matches the Rfam family "Bacterial small subunit ribosomal RNA", at positions 96 to 334 of the family's 1533-position model. The record is from RNAcentral. RNAcentral also lists the same sequence under 1 other name.
CGGCGGACGGGUGAGUAACGCGUGGGUAACCUGCCCUAUACACACGGAUAACAUACCGAAAGGUAUGCUAAUACGAGAUAAUAUAAGAAAUUCACAUGUUUUUCUUAUCAAAGCUGAGGCGGUAUAGGAUGGACCCGCGUCUGAUUAGCUAGUUGGUAAGGUAAUGGCUUACCAAGGCGACGAUCAGUAGCCGACCUGAGAGGGUGAUCGGCCACAUUGGAACUGAGACACGGUCCAA